Molecule: long non-coding RNA, 2130 nt
Organism: Betta splendens (Siamese fighting fish)
Lineage: Eukaryota; Metazoa; Chordata; Actinopteri; Anabantiformes; Osphronemidae
Source: Ensembl
AUGCCAGCUCCAGAGGAGACGCCGUUUCAGUCCCUGCCGGCUCCUGUGAGGAGCCUGAGGGCAGCGCCGCCGGCUCCUGUGAGGAGCCUGAGGGCAGCGCCGCCGGCUCCUGUGAGGAGCCUGAGGGCAGCGCCGCCGGCUCCUGUGAGGAGCCUGAGGGCAGCGCCGCCGGCUCCUGUGAGGAGCCUGAGGGCAGCGCCGCCGGCUCCUGUGAGGAGCCUGAGGGCAGCGCCGCCGGCUCCUGUGAGGAGCCUGAGGGCAGCGCCGCCGGCUCCUGUGAGGAGCCUGAGAGCAGCGCCGCCGGCUCCUGUGAGGAGCCUGAGAGCAGCGGCGCUGCUCUCAGGCUCAAGUGAGGACGCCGUUCCUGUCCCUGUUCCGGUUCCUGUCGACCAAGUAGAGGUCGUUCCAGUUCCUGUCCCUGUCGGCCAAGUAGAGGUCGUUCCAGUUCCUGUUCCUGUCGGCCAAGUUGAGGCCGUUCCUGUUCCUGUUCCUGUCGGCCAAGUUGAGGCCGUUCCUGUUCCUGUCAACCAAGUUGAGGCCGUUCCUGUUCCUGUCGGCCAUGUUGAGGUCGUUCCAGUCCCUGUCGGCCAUGUUGAGGCCGUUCCAGUUCCUGUCGGCCAUGUUGAGGCCGUUCCAGUUCCUGUUCCUGUCGGCCAAGUAGAGGCCGUUCCAGUCCCUGUCGGCCAUGUUGAGGCCGUUCCAGUUCCUGUCCCAGUCCCUGUCGGCCAUGUUGAGGCCGUUCCAGUUCCUGUCCCAGUCCCUGUCGGCCAUGUUGCGGCCGUUCCAGUUCCUGUCCCUGUUCCUGUCGGCCAUGUUGCGGCCGUUCCAGUCCCUGUUCCUGUCGGCCAUGUUGCGGCCGUUCCAGUCCCUGUUCCUGUCGGCCAUGUUGCGGCCGUUCCAGUCCCUGUUCCUGUCGGCCAUGUUGCGGCCGUUCCAGUCCCUGUUCCUGUCGGCCAUGUUGCGGCCGUUCCUGUCCCUGUUCCUGUCGGCCAUGUUGCGGCCGUUCCUGUCCCUGUUCCCGUCGGCUCCCGCAAAGAUGCCGUUCGUGUCCCUGUCACCCUCGGAGCCACAGCCCCCGCCGACCUCCAGGAGGAGGCGGCGCCGGCUGCAGUCCCUGCUGCAGUUCCUGCUGCAGUCCCUGCGGACCUCCAGGAGGCGGUCGCGCCAGCUGCAGUCCCUGCGGACCUCCAGGAGGCGGUCGCGCCAGCUGCAGUCCCUGCGGACCUCCAGGAGGGGGUCGCGCCAGCUGCAGUCCCAGCGGACCUCCAGGAGGGGGUCGCGCCAACUGCAGUCCCUGCGGACCUCCAGGAGGAGGUCGCGCCAACUGCAAUCCCUGCGGACCUCCAGGAGGGGGUCGCGCCAGUCGUAGUUCCUGCCGACCUCCAGGAGGGGGUCGCGCCAGUCGUAGUUCCUGCCGACCCCCAGGAGGGGGUCGUUCCCGUCGUAGUUCCUGCCGACCCCCAGGAAGGGGUCGUUCCCGUCGCAGCUCCCGCUGCGGUUCCUGGCGGCCCGGUUCCGGCCGCACCUGCAUCGGUUCCUGGCGGCCCGGCUCCGGCCGCACCUGCAUCGGUUCCUGGCGACCCGGCUCCGGCCGCAACUGCAUUGGUUCCUGGCGGCCCGGCUCCGGCCGCACCUGCAUCGGUUCCUGGCGGCCCGGCUCCGGCCGCACCUGCAUCGGUUCCUGGCGGCCCGGCUCCGGCCGCACCUGCAUCGGUUCCUGGCGGACCGGCUCCGGCCGCACCUGCAUCGGUUCCUGGCGGCCCGCCUCUGGUUCCUGCCUCGUCUCCACGUCUGUCUUCGCCUCUGGUUCCUGCCUCGUCUCCACGUCUGUCUUCGCCUCUGGUUCCUGCCUCGUCCCCACGUCUGUCUUUGUCUCUGGUUCCUGCCUCGUCCCUGUCUCUGCUGCCGGACUGGUGGCCUCGCCCUCGGCGCAUCCUGCUGCUUGGAUGGCGCUGCCUCCUGCGGCGUCGUCCGCCUCGACUCCUCAGCCUUCAGGAUCAGCGUCCGUCUGGAGGACAUUGCCAUCCGGGGUGGUCCCCGUGGACGCUGGCCCAGCUCACGGGCACUGGGCGUGCCACCCUGCCUCAGCGGCGGCUGAGCAGGAUCUCACCGCGUCUCCACCCGCCGUGA